RNAcentral lists this ribosomal RNA (570 nucleotides) under Vibrio sp. YZZY-F2. RNAcentral's name for it is "bacterial SSU rRNA". It matches the Rfam family "Bacterial small subunit ribosomal RNA", at positions 862 to 1431 of the family's 1533-position model. The record is from RNAcentral. Lineage: Bacteria; Pseudomonadati; Pseudomonadota; Gammaproteobacteria; Vibrionales; Vibrionaceae.
AAGUAGACCGCCUGGGGAGUACGGUCGCAAGAUUAAAACUCAAAUGAAUUGACGGGGGCCCGCACAAGCGGUGGAGCAUGUGGUUUAAUUCGAUGCAACGCGAAGAACCUUACCUACUCUUGACAUCCAGAGAAGCCAGCGGAGACGCAGGUGUGCCUUCGGGAGCUCUGAGACAGGUGCUGCAUGGCUGUCGUCAGCUCGUGUUGUGAAAUGUUGGGUUAAGUCCCGCAACGAGCGCAACCCUUAUCCUUGUUUGCCAGCGAGUAAUGUCGGGAACUCCAGGGAGACUGCCGGUGAUAAACCGGAGGAAGGUGGGGACGACGUCAAGUCAUCAUGGCCCUUACGAGUAGGGCUACACACGUGCUACAAUGGCGCAUACAGAGGGCGGCGAACUUGCGAGAGUGAGCGAAUCCCAAAAAGUGCGUCGUAGUCCGGAUUGGAGUCUGCAACUCGACUCCAUGAAGUCGGAAUCGCUAGUAAUCGUAGAUCAGAAUGUUACGGUGAAUACGUUCCCGGGCCUUGUACACACCGCCCGUCACACCAUGGGAGUGGGCUGCAAAAGAAGUGGGU